CAUUAGCUAGUUGGUGGGGUAAAGGCCCACCAAGGCUACGAUGGUUAGCCGGCCUGAGAGGGUGAUCGGCCACAUUGGGACUGAGAUACGGCCCAGACUCCUACGGGAGGCAGCAGUAGGGAAUUUUGCGCAAUGGACGAAAGUCUGACGCAGCAACGCCGUGUGAGGGAUGAAGCAUUUCGGUGUGUAAACCUCUGUCGUUGGUGACUAGAGUUUUCAGGAGUGGAAAGCCUGGAGAUUGAAUGUAGCCAAGAAGGAAGCACUGGCUAACUCUGUGCCAGCAGCCGCGGUAAUACAGGGAGUGCAAGCGUUGUUCGGAAUUACUGGGCGUAAAGGGAGCGUAGGCGGAGCUACAAGUCAGGGGUUAAAGAUCCGGGCUCAACCUGGAAAGUGCCUUUGAGACUGUAGUUCUUGAGUAUGGCAGAGGCUAGCGGAAUUACCGGUGUAUCGGUGGAAUGCGUAGAUAUCGGUAAGAACACCAGAGGCGAAGGCGGCUAGCUGGGCCGAUACUGACGCUGAGGCUCGAAAGUGUGGGGAGCAAACAGGAUUAGAUACCCUGGUAGUCCACACCGUAAACUAUGAACACUAGAUGUCGGGGAGUUGAUUUCCCGGUGUCGGCGCUAACGCAAUAAGUGUUCCGCCUGGGGAGUACGGUCGCAAGGCUG
RNAcentral lists this ribosomal RNA (665 nucleotides) under uncultured bacterium. RNAcentral's name for it is "bacterial SSU rRNA". It matches the Rfam family "Bacterial small subunit ribosomal RNA", at positions 239 to 896 of the family's 1533-position model. The record is from RNAcentral.